GCCGAAGUGGCGGAAUUUGGGAGACGCACUGGACUCAGGAUCCAGGGGGCGUUAAGCCCGUGGGGGUUCGAGUCCCCCCUUCGGCACCA
This 89-nucleotide transfer RNA is filed under the name Deltaproteobacteria bacterium. Its description in RNAcentral is "tRNA-Leu". It matches the Rfam family "tRNA". From Rfam's summary of the family: Transfer RNA (tRNA) molecules are approximately 80 nucleotides in length. Their secondary structure includes four short double-helical elements and three loops (D, anti-codon, and T loops). RNAcentral also lists the same sequence under 1 other name. Lineage: Bacteria; Pseudomonadati; Myxococcota; Myxococcia. The record is from RNAcentral.